RNAcentral lists this ribosomal RNA (429 nucleotides) under Acidobacteriota bacterium. RNAcentral describes it as "Acidobacteria bacterium partial 16S ribosomal RNA". It matches the Rfam family "Bacterial small subunit ribosomal RNA", at positions 355 to 776 of the family's 1533-position model. Lineage: Bacteria; Pseudomonadati; Acidobacteriota. The record is from RNAcentral.
UGGGGAAUUUUGGACAAUGGGGGAAACCCUGAUCCAGCCAUCCCGCGUGUGCGAUGAAGGCCUUCGGGUUGUAAAGCACUUUUGGCAGGAAAGAAACGUCAUGGGUUAAUACCCCGUGAAACUGACGGUACCUGCAGAAUAAGCACCGGCUAACUACGUGCCAGCAGCCGCGGUAAUACGUAGGGUGCAAGCGUUAAUCGGAAUUACUGGGCGUAAAGCGUGCGCAGGCGGUUCGGAAAGAAAGAUGUGAAAUCCCAGAGCUCAACUUUGGAACUGCGUUUUUAACUACCGGGCUAGAGUGUGUCAGAGGGAGGUGGAAUUCCGCGUGUAGCAGUGAAAUGCGUAGAUAUGCGGAGGAACACCGAUGGCGAAGGCAGCCUCCUGGGAUAACACUGACGCUCAUGCACGAAAGCGUGGGGAGCAAACAGG